GACGAACGCUGGCGGCGUGCUUAACACAUGCAAGUCGAACGGUGAAGCACCUUCCUUUUGGUGGGUGUGGAUGAGUGGCGAACGGGUGAGUAACACGUGAGUAACCUGCCCCCUUCUUCUGGAUAACCGCAUGAAAGUGUGGCUAAUACGGGAUAUUCUGUGCCUGCUGCAUGGUGGGUGUGGGAAAGAUGCGCCUUUGGGUGUUUUUGGUGGGGGAUGGGCUCGCGGCCUAUCAGCUUGUUGGUGGGGUGAUGGCCUACCAAGGCGGUGACGGGUAGCCGGCCUGAGAGGGUGGACGGUCACACUGGGACUGAGACACGGCCCAGACUCCUACGGGAGGCAGCAGUGGGGAAUAUUGCACAAUGGGCGCAAGCCUGAUGCAGCGACGCCGCGUGAGGGAUGGAGGCCUUCGGGUUGUAAACCUCUUUCGCCAGUGAAGCAGGCCUGUCCCUUGUGGGUGGGUUGACGGUAGCUGGAUAAGAAGCGCCGGCUAACUACGUGCCAGCAGCCGCGGUAAUACGUAGGGCGCGAGCGUUGUCCGGAAUUAUUGGGCGUAAAGAGCUCGUAGGCGGCUGGUCGCGUCUGUCGUGAAAUCCUCUGGCUUAACUGGGGGCUUGCGGUGGGUACGGGCCGGCUUGAGUGCGGUAGGGGAGACUGGAACUCCUGGUGUAGCGGUGGAAUGCGCAGAUAUCAGGAAGAACACCGGUGGCGAAGGCGGGUCUCUGGGCCGUUACUGACGCUGAGGAGCGAAAGCGUGGGGAGCGAACAGG
RNAcentral lists this ribosomal RNA (770 nucleotides) under uncultured Actinomyces sp. Its description in RNAcentral is "bacterial SSU rRNA". It matches the Rfam family "Bacterial small subunit ribosomal RNA", at positions 28 to 776 of the family's 1533-position model. The record is from RNAcentral. Lineage: Bacteria; Bacillati; Actinomycetota; Actinomycetes; Actinomycetales; Actinomycetaceae.